Molecule: ribosomal RNA, 492 nt
Filed under: uncultured bacterium
Lineage: Bacteria
Description: partial 16S ribosomal RNA
Rfam family: Bacterial small subunit ribosomal RNA
Source: RNAcentral
AGUGAACGCUGGCGGUAGGCCUAACACAUGCAAGUCGAACGGCAGCACAGUAAGAGCUUCCUCUUACGGGUGGCGAGUGGCGGACGGGUGAGGAAUGCCUCGGAAUCUACUUUUUAGUGGGGGAUAACGUAGGGAAACUUACGCUAAUACCGCAUCCGACCUACGGGUGAAAGCAGGGGAUCUUCGGCCCUUGCGCGAUUGACUGCGCCGAUGUCGGAUUAGCUAGUUGGCGGGGUAAAGGCCCACCAAGGCGACGAUCCGUAGCUGGUCUGAGAGGAUGAUCAGCCACACUGGAACUGAGACACGGUCCAGACUCCUACGGGAGGCAGCAGUGGGGAAUAUGGGACAAUGGGCGCAAGCCUGAUCCAGCCAGACCGCGUGGGUGAAGAAGGCCUUCGGGUUGUAAAGCCCUUUUGUUGGGAAAGAAAAGCAGCAGGUUAAUACCCCGCUGUUCUGACGGUACCCAAAGAAGAAGCACCGGCUAACUUCGUG